This 304-nucleotide ribosomal RNA is filed under the name uncultured bacterium. Its description in RNAcentral is "partial 16S ribosomal RNA". It matches the Rfam family "Bacterial small subunit ribosomal RNA", at positions 506 to 807 of the family's 1533-position model. The record is from RNAcentral.
CAACAGUAGCCACGGGAAUACAGAGGGUGCGAGCGUUAAUCGGAUUUACUGGGCGUAAAGCGUGCGUAGGCGGCUUCUUAAGUCGGAUGUGAAAUCCCUGAGCUUAACUUAGGAAUUGCAUUCGAUACUGGGAAGCUAGAGUAUGGGAGAGGAUGGUAGAAUUCCAGGUGUAGCGGUGAAAUGCGUAGAGAUCUGGAGGAAUACCGAUGGCGAAGGCAGCCAUCUGGCCUAAUACUGACGCUGAGGUACGAAAGCAUGGGGAGCAAACAGGAUUAGAUACCCGAGUAGUCCCUGUCUCUUAUAC